Manihot esculenta (cassava) is the source of this 963-nucleotide long non-coding RNA. RefSeq lists it as uncharacterized. The transcript is spliced from 2 exons. The record is from RefSeq and is a predicted model, not a curated record. Lineage: Eukaryota; Viridiplantae; Streptophyta; Magnoliopsida; Malpighiales; Euphorbiaceae.
UUGACCCGUUGUAUAUAGUGGAUCCAACUUAAGUGAAUUGACUGAAUGACCCGUUGUAUAUAAUGGAUCCAACUUAAGUGAAUUGACUGAAUGACCCGUUGUAUAUAAUGGAUCCAACUUAAGUGGAUUGACCCGUUAGUUUUGAGCAAGAGAGAGAAGCUCUCUCUUUUGGUCCUCUUCAGUUUCUCGGCAGUUUCGUCGGCUUUCUUUUGUCGCUCCUGUAUGGCCGUCCUCUGCCCCAUCCGAACAGGGGAUGGCCAGUUCUUCUCCUGCCCAGAGAGUGGGUCCCCACCCAGUAAAUAAGUGAUGGGGAUGACGGUGUGGAGCUCUAUCAUCUCGAAUCUACACCCGUUUCACCAGCAUGUGCUUCAGAAAGCUUCUGAUCUAUAUUGGCUAUGAAUGGUUGUGUUUUAUGCUUGUUGCAGAGUAUCUCGAGGAUCACUAAGUCGCUUCCAUUUGGUUCCGGACGGUUGAUUCUUCAGGAUAAAGAAUACCGGCGAGCUCUCUCUGCUUCCUUUUUUCAGCCCAAGCAUUUUUGUGGCCAUGGUGGUUGAUAUAUUUUUUUGGCUUCUGUGCUCUUUGGUGACUUAGAUUUUUUGGCUUUUUGGUUGAUUGAUUCUUCAUUUGGUUUACCUUCUUUCUUGGACAUAUAUUGUUGUUUCUCCUCAUCAGCAAUUUCUGGCCAUUGCAACAACAGAACCAGGAAUCUGCUCUCCUCAACCAGUUGGGUUUACUUCGAGCAAGGCUAGUGUUUAACUUGUAGGCCUUGAGUCAAGGUUAGACCUUACGUUUCUAACUUGUUUAGCCUUCAGGUGAGAAGCUUUUUCUUGUGGCUUGGGUGUCUAGUUCUUGGUCAAUGGGCUAGGUCUAAUGGCCCUUUUUAAUAUAUACUAGCGUUAUUCAAGGUGGUUUGCAACUUGUUAUAUUUAUUAUAUAUAAUAAUUUUAUAUUAUUAUUUUUUAA